CAAAAUACAACAAACCGUAGUUAAAAAAGUUUAUUUCGGAAAGUUUUAAACUUUCAAUUGAUUUUUUAUCAACGCCUUCAUCACUGUGAUGACAUUCUCGGGAAAUCGUUACGUUUUUUUUUGGCAUUUUUUUGCGUAUCAGACUGUAAAAUCACCACGUGAUCGCAUGAUUUUUGUCAAACAUUUGCUAUAUAACCUCUAGAGUCUUGUUAGUGAUACACUUCGUUUGAACGGAUUAUAAUUUCUGCUAAACAACACAGCUGUAUUGUCGUUCAGUCAUGGGAAAACAAGUUUGGAUGUUGGUAGCGAUUUGCGCUCUGCUAGUUGCAAGUGUGAGUGGUGGAGGCUCUUCUUAUUCUUAUUCUUAUUCUUCCUCAUCUGGAGGCGGCGGAGGGGUGCCGCGACUGAAUAAACGUGCAAUUGCCGAGUUGAAAGACACUAUGAUAAGGAAGAGCGAGAGGCAAGCUCCCCAGGCAGCAGCACAAGGAUAGGAAAAAGGGACGCGAGCUCCCCAGAAAGCAGCACUGAGUAACAUCACAUCAGAAUUCACCUACUUGUUAUUUUAUGUAUCAAUGAUUGGACCAAUUUAGUUUAUAUUCUUUUCAACGAUCUGGAAUGUUGACUUCGAAAAGUUCAUAUCCUUUUUAAAAAUGAUCCAAAAAGUUAGUAUACAAAUGUUUAUUUAUAUCAAUGCUUCAAAAAAGAUCUUAAAAUGUAUUAAUUUGCACAGUACUAUACUGAAAUAAAAUGAC
Mercenaria mercenaria is the source of this 752-nucleotide long non-coding RNA. RefSeq lists it as uncharacterized. Lineage: Eukaryota; Metazoa; Mollusca; Bivalvia; Venerida; Veneridae. The record is from RefSeq and is a predicted model, not a curated record. The transcript is spliced from 3 exons.